RNAcentral lists this non-coding RNA (28 nucleotides) under Rattus norvegicus (Norway rat). Lineage: Eukaryota; Metazoa; Chordata; Mammalia; Rodentia; Muridae. The record is from RNAcentral.
AGACGCUCAUCUUUCAGGUGAAGGAAAG